This 497-nucleotide ribosomal RNA is filed under the name uncultured bacterium. RNAcentral describes it as "partial 16S ribosomal RNA". It matches the Rfam family "Bacterial small subunit ribosomal RNA", at positions 28 to 507 of the family's 1533-position model. The record is from RNAcentral.
GACGAACGCUGGCGGCGUGCCUAAUACAUGCAAGUAGAACGCUGAAGAGAGGAGCUUGCUCUUCUUGGAUGAGUUGCGAACGGGUGAGUAACGCGUAGGUAACCUGCCUUGUAGCGGGGGAUAACUAUUGGAAACGAUAGCUAAUACCGCAUAACAAUGGAUGACACAUGUCAUUUAUUUGAAAGGGGCAAUUGCUCCACUACAAGAUGGACCUGCGUUGUAUUAGCUAGUAGGUGAGGUAAUGGCUCACCUAGGCGACGAUACAUAGCCGACCUGAGAGGGUGAUCGGCCACACUGGGACUGAGACACGGCCCAGACUCCUACGGGAGGCAGCAGUAGGGAAUCUUCGGCAAUGGGGGCAACCCUGACCGAGCAACGCCGCGUGAGUGAAGAAGGUUUUCGGAUCGUAAAGCUCUGUUGUAAGUCAAGAACGGGUGUGAGAGUGGAAAGUUCACACUGUGACGGUAGCUUACCAGAAAGGGUCGGCUAACUACGUG